GGGGCUGAGUAGCUUCGACGGGUCAGACCGUGGGCAGUGUAAGCAGGCGGAGUUGCGAGCCCUCCUAAAACGAUCGCAACGCGUAUACACGCGAACAACAACUACGCACUCGCUGCCUAAUCUAAGGUAGCGACGGUGCGCGAGGGGUCGCCGGAGCCGCCUCGCUCACCGUCAACAAGUCCGGCUGGGACGGGAAGUCCGCUCUGCGAACCGUCCGAAAUCUACGGAGCUGCCGCCGCCGAAAGUUCGUUUCGAAACGUUCGACGGCCUAAGACAAAAUCGAAACUGAGCCUGGAGAAAGCGCUGGUCCGGCGAUUCGGACUCGGGGGGCGGUUCCCCGACAGCUCCACCA
Molecule: transfer-messenger RNA, 352 nt
Filed under: Vulcanimicrobiaceae
Lineage: Bacteria; Bacillati; Vulcanimicrobiota; Vulcanimicrobiia; Vulcanimicrobiales
Also listed under: 1 other name
Description: Nyctobacter psychrophilus Standard tmRNA
Rfam family: transfer-messenger RNA
About the family: Bacterial tmRNA, also known as 10Sa RNA or SsrA, is named for its dual tRNA and mRNA-like properties. Its role is to liberate the mRNA from a stalled ribosome.
Source: RNAcentral